Molecule: long non-coding RNA, 664 nt
Organism: Helianthus annuus (common sunflower)
Lineage: Eukaryota; Viridiplantae; Streptophyta; Magnoliopsida; Asterales; Asteraceae
Exons: 2
Source: RefSeq, a predicted model, not a curated record
CACACCAUCCUCAAGAUCCAUCCCUUCCACUUCUUUUCUCUAUUGCUUAUCCCCACAAGAAGAAACUGUCUUCUACCCCCUCCUUUCGAUCACCACUUGCAGACACAAGGGAAAAGCCAAACACACUCUCACACUUACUCCAUCUCCUCUGUAGCCGGUGAGCGGAGCUGCCGUUCCGGCUGACCGACGCCGUAAUUGAGAUUUCUAUUGAGAUCGGUGGUUUCAGCAUCUACAGCGGCAGGUUUUAUUGAGAUUUAACCGGUGGUUUCAGCCGCCGUUCCGGCUGACCGACGCCGUAAUUGCUGAUAAGAAUCGACGGCGACAGGUUUUGACGGUAAACAGCCGACGACUUUUAUUUAGAUUUCUCCAGUGGUUUCAGCGUCUACAGCGGCGGCGGUGCCUCGGUGGUGUACGGACAGUAGGCGAUGGUGUGGGGAUCUUCACGUCUGAGUCCAGUGGCGGAGGAAGUGUGUUUCUAGCUUCAUGAUGGUUCGGGUUUUGUUUCGGCUCGGGUCACUGUUCGGUUCACAUACGUUGAGAUAGUGAAGGCAUCACAUAAAUUUAGAGAAAAGAUGAUGACAAAACAAGCUUAGGAUGAAUAUGUAAUUUUAUUUUCUUUAUGUUUGUAGAUUUUAUAUAUUUUUUGUUCGUAAAUUUGUAUAAA